RNAcentral lists this ribosomal RNA (484 nucleotides) under uncultured bacterium. Its description in RNAcentral is "partial 16S ribosomal RNA". It matches the Rfam family "Bacterial small subunit ribosomal RNA", at positions 30 to 507 of the family's 1533-position model. The record is from RNAcentral.
AUUGAACGCUGGCGGCAGGCCUAACACAUGCAAGUCGAGCGGAUGAAGGGAGCUUGCGCCUGGAUUCAGCGGCGGACGGGUGAGUAAUGCCUAGGAAUCUGCCUGGCAGUGGGUGAUAACGUCUGGAAACGGGCGCUAAUACCACAUACUUCCUGAGGGAGAAAGUUGGGGAUCUUCGGACCUCACGCUAUCAGAUGAGCCUAGGUCGGAUUAGCUAGUUGGUGGGGUAAAUGCCUACCAAGGCGACCAUCCGUAACUGGUCUGAGAGGAUGAUCAGUCACACUGGAGCUGAGACACGGUCCAGACUCCUACGGGAGGCAGCAGUGGGGAAUAUUGGACAAUGGGCGAAAGCAUGAUACAGCCAUGCCGCGUGUGUGACGAAGGUCUUCGGAUUGUAAAGCACUUUAAGUUGGGAGGAAGGGCAGUAAGUUAAUACCUUGCUGUUUUGACGUUACCAACAGAAUAAGCACCGGCUAACUUCGUG